GGGUGUGGGCAGGUGAGAGGGCAGGUGAGAGGGCAGGUGAGAGGGCAGGUGUGAGGGCAGGUGUAAUGAGGGCAGGUGUAAUGAGGGCAGGUGAGAGGGCAGGUGUAAUGAGGGCAGGUGUAAAGAGGGCAGGUGAGAGGGCAGGUGUAAUGAGGGCAGGUGAGAGCAGGGGUGAGGGCAGGUGU
Molecule: long non-coding RNA, 185 nt
Organism: Zonotrichia leucophrys gambelii
Lineage: Eukaryota; Metazoa; Chordata; Aves; Passeriformes; Passerellidae
Exons: 3
Source: RefSeq, a predicted model, not a curated record